This 38200-nucleotide long non-coding RNA is filed under the name Triticum aestivum (bread wheat). RNAcentral describes it as "long non-coding RNA (TAES_LNC008539)". The record is from RNAcentral. Lineage: Eukaryota; Viridiplantae; Streptophyta; Magnoliopsida; Poales; Poaceae.
UCUUCUCUCUUAUUACUCUCUUUUCUAUACAUGAGUUAUUUGGUGCUGUUAUAUCUGUUUAAUGCAUUUCUUCUUCUGUGAUGUAGUUUCUAGAAAUAUUGUGCUGUUGUUUAUUAUUAUGUUUUUCUUUCCAUAUGAAAUAUAGAUUAUAGAUACAGUAUGACAGUGGCCCUAAAAGUUCUACUAAAAUGUCAUUAUCAGUGGCUAGUAGUAGUUGGCACUGAUGCACUAGAAUAUGUGUCCUAACUUCUGUCCCCACAUGUAACACCAGCUGUGCGUUGAGAAAUAUUUAUCAAGUUGUUGGCUGGUGGGGUUGGUGCAUUUUGAACCACAAGUAGCCAACUCCAGUACUCCUAUAUGCCGUCCCACUCCCACCAUUGUGUAGCUAUCAAGAUCCAUGAUAUAACACCAGUGAUAUAUGUGCAAUGUGGCAAUCUAGUUGCUUACGUAAAGUGGGGAAUAUGCUUUCAUAUUAAUCUGUGUGCACAAUAAUCUUUUGAAAUACCAGUGGUUUUCCUUUUACCCCUUUUGAAUGUAUAUUAGCAUAAAUGCUGUUGUGAUUUCUGUUCUUAUCUACCUUAGCUUUUCGUUCUACCCCAAAAUGGUUUUGUACUAUAUUACGAGAUAGCUAGUCAUUUUGGCUUGUUGGAUUAAGCGGUGUAUGACUCUAGAGAAACAGUUAUAUUCAUCAGAGUGUUGCAGCAGGAUCAAUUUGGUGACAUAAUCGAAUUCUGAUAUCCUAAGUGAUCUAGCCCCAGAUGAUGACUUGUUAGCAUAAACAUUUACAUUCAUUCUUUAGAGUGUGCAGCAGGAUCUGUUCGAGGAUACAAUCGGUCUCUGAGAUUCUGUGUAACUAAAUUUCCCUAUCAGGAGUUUGGUCGAACAAGGGGGGACAUAGGAAUAUAUCUGGUGCUGGCAAAGGGGCCAGACCCAGAAGGGUCAAAUUGGUUUUACAAUGGACACUUGGAUAGUGGUGCAGUUACUAAGAGGGGGCUAAUAACGGCUUGGGGUAGAAUAAGUUCAUAGUUGAAACAGCAAAUGUAUACACAAAAGCCAUUUGCGUUUUCUCGAAAAAUGUAUACAUAUAUAUCAGAUAAACUCAGCAAUCAACCUGACUGGGCAAGACUUUAGCUGGGAUGUCAUUAGGAAUGCCCUCAACAAAUUAUUUAUUCUCGUAUCAACUUGUUUUUUUAUAGUACUCUUUUUGAUACUGUAGCACUGAGCUCUUGAAUUGCAUGAUGCAGCCAAGAAGGCUUAACUGCUCAAUCACCGAUUUUGGUGCAUUAUGCAUAUAUAUACUUGUGUUGUCUGCAUGCAUGGCGGGCUCUAUUAUUCCUGAUGAUGUAGUUCUGACUUACUACCUCUGUUCAUAAAUAAAAGACGUUUUGGCAGUAUAGAUUGAACUGUCAAAACGUCUUAGAUUUAGGAACGGAGGGAGUAGUAGUGUACUUCUGUCAUUCUGAGUACUGGUGCGGCAACAAUUCCUGGAUUUCAUCUGUUUGAUGCUAUCUUCUGAUUUUCCUGCUGUCAGGUUGAUGCAGUGGUGUACCUUGUGGACGCGUAUGACAAAGAGAGGUUUGCCGAAUCCAAGAAGGAGCUCGACGCCCUCCUCUCAGACGAUUCGCUGGCCACCGUCCCCUUCCUGAUCCUGGGCAACAAGAUCGACAUCCCCUAUGCCGCCUCAGAGGAAGAGCUCCGCUACCACAUGGGUCUUAGCAACUUCACGACUGGCAAGGGCAAGGUGAGCCUCAGCGAGUCCAAUGUCCGCCCCCUGGAGGUCUUCAUGUGCAGCAUCGUCCGCAAGAUGGGCUAUGGCGAAGGGUUCAAGUGGAUGUCGCAGUAUAUCAAGUAGGUCAGGCAGGGGGGAGUGGUGAAAGAAACAAAAGAGUUAUAACUAGUCAUGGUGAUAAUCCUGUUUUACCUUGUCACAAGAGUGUUAGGGAGCUAGCUGGUCAUGGUGCCAGUACAUAUGUGAUGUAAUGGAUGUAGUUCAAAGUCUGGGGACUCCGUCCUAGAUUUUUUUGGUUGAGUUAUUACAAUGUGAUGUCGAAAAGGUGAUAUGCUUUGGACUCCAUUGCUGGUGCUCCAUGGUAUUCUGAAUGAUGGUCAUAGCAGCCUCGUGCAUCCAGAUUUGCUGUUCUUUGUGUUUUUGCUAUUCUCUGAAGCUGGUGCUCCCCAGCAGCUGGUGCGCUGACACACCUUUCAUCAGUAUUCAGUCAAUUUGAGGGUUGUCAUCUAUUUUUUCGGCCCCUACAAAUGAACAGUUGCAGUUCAGUAGUAUCUAAUUUGCAGAUAUUCUGCUUGCGUUUUACUCGUGGUUGACUCGCCAGCAUCUUUGAAACUCUACCAUAUUCGAUGGUUUUAUUCUUGGACUUGCUCAUGAAUUCUAAUUCUGCUGAGAAUAAUUGCAAUAAACCAAUUUUGUCCCGUUUAAAAUCCAAAGUUGACCUUGCAACCAAAAGAAGGAAAUGCUAAAGAAUUUAAGCAUGGCAAAUCGGUUUUUUUAUGACAAAUUAUGUUGUCUCAAGGAUAAAAUGGGGGAAGGCGAUGGUCCUAGACUCUAUUCCCAUUGAGGUGUGGGGAGGUUUUGAAGACAUAGUGAUAGUAUGGCUAACUCAGUUUUUCAACAUUAUUUUUCGUCCAAAUAAGAUGCCCAAAGAAUGAAGGCGGAGUAUAUCAGUACCAUAAAAUUAAACUGAUGAGCCAUACAAAGAAGCUAUGAAAAAUAAACAUUGAGCACCGUUUAAGAAGAAUGACAAGCGUGCUCAGUUUGGUUUUAUGCCUAAUACAAUAACUUAUGAAAAGAUAGGAAAAGAAGAACUUCAUAUAACUUAUGAAAAGAUAGAGGAAAAGAAGAACUUCAAUAUGCAACUGGAGUAUCUGCUCUCGAGAUCAAAUUCUCCUAGAUGAACAAUAAAAUAAAAUAAACAGUAAAAAACAAAAAAGCCUGAUUUUUUUGGUAAACUUUAACAAAUGUUUUUUAUGCUUACAAAAUUCAGCACCAAAUGAUAUUUGUGGAAGUCGUGGCAAAAAAAAAUCAAUGUUUCAAAAAUGCUAGUUUUGAAAAUAUUUUGGAGUCCUGAUUUAUUUGCCACACCUUCCACGAAUGUCAUUCCAUUCUAAAAUUUUACAAUCAUACAAAACAUUUGUGAAAGUCGACCACAAAUUCUUUUAGAAUAUUUAGAAUUGUUUACUAUUUUUUCAACUUUACUAUUCAUCGGAGAGUAUUUGAGCUCGGGAUCAGAAUAAAACUUUAGUUUAAUAUGGUGUUAAUUGACCUAAAGAAGGCCCACAAUAUAAUACCACAAAAUGUCAUGUGGUAGGCCGUGGAGAAGCACACCCAACAUAACAGACUUGGCCAAAUCGGCCGGCCCGAUACGGCUCGACCUGGGUUAUACAAGCCCGACACGGCAUGGCUCGUCCAGACACAACAAGUACACAGGUCAUGCUGGGCCGGCACGCAUGCUACGCUCCGUGGCCCAGGCACGAGCCCUAUGUUAUACUGGCCGGCACGCCAACCCACGUAGAAUUUAGCCUAUUGGGAUGUUUUGGACCUAUAUUAAGCCUAUUGGGCUGUAUAAAAAUAAAACAAAUCGGUCGUGCCGUGCUGGCACUCGUGCCCAACCUCGUGUCCCAGGCACGGCCCUAGGCAGGCCACAUGCUGACAUAACCUGAUUAUAAAUGUGUCGGGCCAGGCCCACCAUGGGUUGGGUGACGGUGCCAUGGACGGGGGUGCUAGCCACGUCGGCCUGUUAGUCAUGGGCCGGGCCAACGACCUCGGACUGAAGAAUGGGCCAUAUUUACCAUGACCCCCGCCGUGCUCAGAUGGAAUAGUCUGAAGAUCUGUGCACACUUCAAGACAUGUUCAAAUCAUCGGCAAGCUUAUCCCUGGAUGUAACCGACCUAUAUGUAAUCCUAGGUACCCCCGGUUCCUAUAUAAGCAAAGGGGUUUAGCUCGUAGGGUUAAGUUACAUUCAUACACAUACGAUCUCGAGAUAGACCAUCAUAUAUCUUGUACCCCAUCACAAUCAAUACAACCAAAGCACGCGUGGGGUUUUACCUCUUCGAGAGGAUCUGAACCUGGGUAAACAUCGUGUCUCUUGUUCGUCCUGUUAUCAUCAAGCCAGGAUCACCAGUUCGGGACCCCUACCCGAGAUCUGACGGAUUUAACCUGGACACCGGGCACGUGAGCUAUCGGGCCACACACUAAGACUGUCCCAUUUGGCCAUGUUUGCAACAAAGUACAUUGCGCUCAUCAAAGACAUGUACGGUAAAUAUUGUGACAAGUGUUCGAACAAGUGAUGGCCACAUUGAUGACUUCUCAAUUAAAAUAGGACUACAUAAAGGGUCAGCUUUGAGCACGUAUCUUUUUUGCUUUGGUGAUGGAUGAGGUCAUAGGGGAUAUACAAGGAAAUAUCUCAUGUUGUAUGCUCUUUGCGGAUGGUGUGGUGCUAAUCGAUGAUAGUUGGAUGGGGGUUAAUAGAAUUGGAGCUAUGGAGACAGAUUUUAGAAUCGAAAUGUUUUACCUUAGUAGAAAUGAGACCGAGUACAUGAGGUGUGUUUUUAGUACUACUAGGCGCGACGAGAAGGAAGCUAGCUUUGAUGGGUAGGUGGUGCCUCAGAAGGACACCUUUCUGUAUCUAGGUCGAUGCUGCAGAAGGAUGGUGAUAUUGAUGAGGAUGUGACUCAUCGAACCAAAACAGAAUGGAUGAAGUGGCGCCAAGCUUCUUGCAUUUUUUGUGAUAAGAGAGUUCCACAAAAGCUAAAAAGCAGAUUCUAUAGGACGGUGUUUGACCUGCGAUGUUAUAUAGCGUUGAAUGUUGCCCAACUAAAUGGCGACAUGUCCAAUAGCUAGGUGUAGUAGAGAUGUGCAUGUUAAGAUGGAUAUGUGGCCACAGAAGAAAAGAUCGGUCCCAGAAUGAUGAUAUACGUGAGAGAGUUGAGUGGCGUCGAUUAGAGAAGCUUGUCCAACAUCGUCUAAGAUGGCUUGUGUUUCAAUGCAUGCCUCCAGAAACGCUAGUGUAUAAAUGGCGGUUAAGGCGCAUUGAUAACGUCAAGAGAGGUUGAGAUAGACUAACCUAACAACAAAGGAGUCUGUAAAGAGAUACAUGAAAAACUUUGUUGGUGUUGUUAUAUGUUAUCGCGAGGAUGACAAUUUUCUUUAGCAAGCACGACAUUCCUAGCAAAAAUUUAAAAAUGACAUGAAUUCCUCAUGCUUGUCCAACAUUGUCUAAGAUGGUUUGUGUUUCAAUGCAUGCCCCCAUAAACGCUAAUGCAUAAAUGGCGGUUAAGACGCAUUGAUAACUUCAAGAGAGGUUGAGAUAAACUAACCUAACAACAAAGGAGUCUGUAUGUUAUCACGAGGAUGACAAUUUUCUUUAGCAAGCACGACAUUCCUAGCAAAAAUUUGAAAAUGACAUGAAUUCGUCAUGCUUGCUAAAAGAAAAUACCAUACUCGUGACAACACAAUUUACUAUCUGAGCGUUGGAUUUGCCAUGCUCAUAAAACCGGCAUUCGAUUUGCAACGAAAUCCAAAAAAAAACAUAAACAAAUCAUAGACCCGGAUUUUAAACUUCACCUGCCCAAAUUUGAAAACUUGAAUUGAAGUUGAAUUUUCAUUCUUGAUGUGAUUUCAGAAUGGUUAGCUGAGAACUCUCCACUAAAACCCUGCAAACCUCUGAAUUUCUUCUUUUAAUAUACUCCUGCGCCGCGCCACUCUCCACUAAACACAAGACAGGAGAGACACCGCGCCACUCCCCCAAAACAUUUUGUCUGAAUUUCUUUGGCUUCCCAGUCGAAGCGGAUGGCGAUGGCAGGCAGGAGGCGCCCCGAUCUCCUCCUGCGCCGCCGCGCCAAUCUCUCAGCCCGUAGCCCGCUGAGAUCCAACCUUUCCACCGUGUCCGGCCGGAGACCGCCCGAACCCGCCGACCCGGCCCGCGCGGCGUCGAUCCUGGCCGAGAAGGACUGGUUCGCGCGGCUCAACUCGGAGUUCGCCGCCGCGCUGCCGCGCCUGGGCCCGCGCUUCGUGGUCCGCGUGCUGCACGCCGCCGUGCCCCUCGAGCCACGCCUCUGCGUCCGCCUCUACGUCUGGGCGUCGCGGUUCGGGACCCACUUCGCGCGGGACGCCUCGGUGCGGCGGGCCCUGGAGGACGCGCUGUGGCGGCGCGGGCCGCUCGUGCUGUCCGCGGCGCUGGUGGCGGAGGUCAGGGGCUGCGGGUGCGAGGUCUCCGAGGAGCUGCUCUGCUCCAUGAUCGCCAGCUGGGGCAGGCUGGGCCUCGCGCAGUACGCGCACGAGGUGUUCGUGCAAAUGCCGCGUCUCGGGCUGAGGCCCAGCACGGCGGUGUACAACGCCCUGAUCGCCGCGUCUGUGAGGGCUGGCGCCGUCGACACGGCAUACCUCAGGUUCCAGCAGAUGCCUGCGGAUGGGUGCCAGCCGGACUGCUUCACCUACAACACACUCGUUCACGGGGUCUGUCGUAGUGGGAUCGUCGAUGAGGCGCUCCGGCUGGUGAGGCAGAUGGAGGGCGUCGGGAUCAAGCCGAAUGUGUUCACUUACACGAUGCUGGUUGAUGGGUUCUGCAAUGCUGGCAGGCCAGAGGACGCACUUCAUGUGUUCAAUACGAUGAAGGAUAAGGGUGUAUCGCCGAAUGAGGCCUCGUACAGGACUUUGGUUCAUGGUGCGUUCCGGUGCUUGGGGAGCCACAAGGCGUAUGAGAUGCUUAGUGAGUGGAUAGGACGUCAGCCUCCACUGCACCCAAGUGCGUGGCAUACUAUGCUGUAUUGCUUAUCAAAGAACGAGAUGGCCAAAGAGGUAGUUGAGGUCGUGAAGAAGAUGAAAACUAGGGGUCUUCUCCUCGACAAUGCUAUGUUUGGCAUUGUGGUCUCUUGUGCUGUGAAGUGCCUGGAGUUGAGUGAUUUGUGUGAGUUGGUUGAUGAUUUCGUAAAGAAAGGCGGGAAUCCUGGAUUUCAUGUCUAUAUUAUGAUCAUCAAAUCCUUACUGGACUGCAAAAGUUCUUCAAAGGCAAACCACUAUUUAGAGCGCAUGGUUUUAGAUGGGCUCUUGUCUAGUGUGGCAUCUUAUAACAUGGUGAUAGAUUGCUUUGUCAAGGAAGGUGCAGUGGAUAGGGCAGUGGAGAUUAUAAAACAAAUGCGAGAGAAAGGUUUCCUUCCAAACCUUGUUACCUUUAAUAUACUGAUAAGUGGUUACUCAAAGUUAGGGGAUGUACAUAAUGCAAAGGCUGUUCUUAAGUUGCUUAUGGAAGAUGGUUUCAUGCCAGAUAUCAUUACUUUUACCUCCCUCAUUGACGGGCUAUGCCAUGCCCAUCAGAUGGAUGAUGCGUUUGAUUGCUUCAGUGAGAUGGCAGAGUGGGGUGUUAGACCAAAUGCUCAUACUUACAAUGUACUAAUGCGCGCGCUUUGUUCAGUCGGGCACGUUAACAAGGCCAUUGAUCUUCUUAAUAAAAUGAAAAUAGAUGGCAUUACUCCCGAUGCAUAUUCCUUCAAUGCUCCCAUUUUGAGUUUUUGCAGAAUGAAGAAAGUAGAUAAAGCUCGUAGUAUUUUUAAUGCCAUGCUAAGAUUAGGUGUUGUUCCAGACGGUUACACAUGCAACAUCCUGAUUAAAGCUCUUUGUGAUGAAAAGAGAGUUGAUGAUGCCAAAGAAAUUCUAGCUGCAACUGAGUCUAGUGGCUGUACUGUGACCGAUCAUCAUCACUCAUACUGGCCAAUUGUUUCUGCACUUACUAAAAUGGGUCGAUUCAGUGAGGCAGGACAGUUGAUGAACAAAUGUCACAUCAGAAAUGUUCAGUUGGAUUGUGGUUCUAAUCGUACCACAGAGCCUGCAAUGCAUGCCCGAGUUGUCAAUGUGUGAGUUGUGAUUUGGUAUCUACAUGCUAUUUGGCACAUGAAUGAUUGCCCUCCUCCUGCAAUGAAGGCUCACAACUGGCUCAUCUUUGCUAAGGUGCAGUAGACCAACACCACUGUCCAUAACCGCUCCUUGCAAUCUGUUUUGAUGAUAUUUCAUUUGUCCUGCUCAUUUUCUUAUCGAGUAAAGUAUAACUGUUAAAUCUUAUUUCCAGAUGAAUCACCUGGAACUUCUCAGCGCCCAUUGCUUUGUAGUGCAUUUCAGGAAUGAUAUGGAUUUGCACAUUUCUGUCUGAAAAUCUUUGCAGAAGAAGUCAGUAUGUUUCUUCUAGCUCUUUGCAUGUUUCGGUGAAUUCUCUACUUAAAGGGAUGAACUUCAUGCAAAAUAUUAUAGCUGCUUUUAAUUUGCGAAUACUGGAGAGGAAAGACCGCAAGCUAACAUAAAGUGAAUUUCAUGUACUUCUAGGACUAGUUUCAUUUUAUUUUGGGUUGUAUAUGAAAAUUGAAUUAAAGAGGAUUAGGAAAUUUAGUUUGAAACAAAGGGUAUUCAGAAAUUUCUAGUAGUCCUCAGUAAACAUGUAACAUCGGGUGCAACAUUCCUAUAAUUCUAUGUACUUUUAGAGUCUUAAAGCUGCUCACACACAAAUCUGGCCGUGGAGACUGUGAUGCUUUCUGUAAUUAGGAUGGCAGAAGUAUCCCAAGAAGAGCAGUCCGUAGCUUCAUAUUAUGUGUGUUGCUAAAAGUUAUUUGUGCCUUGGCAUAUUAAGCAGCGACCUUGGAGUGGUAAUAAAAAAUGCAACACAGCAAUUGUCUCAACUUCUCAUUGAAGAUGAAGACUUGUUAAGAAUUUCUCAUUUAUCUCCUUUUUUUUUGCAGGGCUGCUGAUUUCCAAAAGGAUUCUUAUGCUUGUGUGCAAAUGCUGUUCUCCUGGAAAACAAACAUUUCACAUCAUGCAAACUCGAUUCUGCGGAGGAUGAUUGCUUCCAAAUCCUCCUUGAGUUUCUGGUGUUUCAGACUGCACCCCAACAGCGCUCCAUGGUGACUGUGUCUACCGGUCAUGGGGGAGUUUGUUAUGUGAAUUCUCAUCGCUGCUCAACUUCUGUUCAACCUUACGGGGGCUAGCUUCUCUUCUUAUUCAUGACCUGUUCAUGGUGAGGAGGUGCGUUAUUCUGGUCUUGAGGCUACUUAGAGCGUUGAACUGACACCUGGAGAUGAAUAACGCCGAUUCACAUGUGCGGCCUCCUGCACCCAGUUGUUACAGCUGUAUAUACACCAAUUGUUGCAGUUGUAUAUACAGUUGCAAUUUAGAAUUGAUUCUAGAAACUACACUCGUUACUUCAGACCAGGAUGCAUAUAUAAAGCUUAAUUGGUCAGACGUCUCCUAUCAUGUGUGAUCUCCUGAACCACAUUACUUCACAUGCAGGAUCCUCCAUGUUGUUACAACGGUUUAGUAUACAUUUUUUUUAAUUUCAUGGGAUUCUUUGUUUGGACCUGAACCUGUUCUUUAUUUAUCUUUUAGAGAAACGAGGAAUCUUGAAUAAACCAAUCAUGUGCAUGAUUCUGUUAUUACAGAAACCAAAGGUGGCAUAAGCAUAUACAUAUAAUUGGUUUCUUUAACACUUCGAUCGUAAACCAGUGCCUACUAGAUUUUGUUUCAGAAGAAAAUAAUUCACAAAGAAUGAUACGUACUAUACAUAAGACCUGGCUGUGGUCACUAACUGUCCCCAGCAAUAUUUAGAGAAGUGGAUCUUUUGUGGAUGUGGUCACCAACUGUCCCCAGGUGGUUGAAGGCUUGAGGUGGAGGAUAAUGAUGAUAGUGGACUGCAAUCUGAUGCGGCAUGUAUGCCCCAAUCUCCUAGCAGUUCUUCUGAGAAGUGGUGAUUCCCGCUCUACCUUUAUUCCCUGAAGAGAUGUGUGCAGAAUAACAUGGAGAACGUGGGAACUAGAGCUGCUGCAUUGACAAGAAAGAGGAACCUGGAUGGUACUCCUAUUAACCCUAAAUCCAAUUAUUUUGAUGCCUUAUCCAAUAAACAAUUGAUGCUUAGGGCUGCUAAGUUGGUUGUGAUUAUUCCUGAUGAUGAUUUUGCUUGUGUGGAAAUUAUUAUGGAACUUGAGAAAACCAGGAUGAAUAAUGAUAUUGAUAUUCCUGUUGCUGUUGAUGCUAAUGUUAAUAGUACUUUAUAGUUUAUAUAUAACUAAUCAGAAAGGGGUGGACACCCCCAUUGAGAUAGACCAGAGGCUUAUUGCCUCUAUUAAUGAGGAUUCUUUUUCAGUUGUUAUGUCCAAGAAGAAAGUAAUGUGGUUGUGUCUAGACCCGUGACCAGUACUCCAACCCUUAAUAAUGCUGCUAGUUCUGCCCAUCCUCUGCCUACCAGGGUGGGAAACCCUCAUAGAGAUAAAAUGAAUGUGAUUAUAGAAUUGAAAGAAGGGAGGUGGGGGACCGGCUUCCUGCCUCUCUUGUUUAAUAGAAGGUCAUUCCCUUGAUUUCCUUGUGCUUAAGGAAACUAUGAAAAAGAAAUCUUCUGCUGGUUUCUUUAGAAAAUUGGAUCCUUAUGUUAUUUUGUUGGAAGUGAUUCCUUCUGUGGGAAAAGCUGGAGGGAUUUUAUGUGGUGUGAAAAAGAGAGGUUGGAGAUUAUCUCCAGUGAGCAUGGCAUAUACUAUCAUGCAAUUACUUCUAUGGGAUGUGGUGAAAGAAAAACUAAGUGGGGCCUAUUGUUUGUCUAUGGGGCGCACAUGAGGAAUUCAAAGAUGAGCUCCUGGUGGAGCUAGCUGCCUGCUAUUUUACACAUUGUGGGGAGAAAAACAAGAAGCUUCAACGUCCCCGUGCUAUGGAUAUCUUUAAUUUGAUUAUCCAUACUAUUGGGCUGAGAGAGAUUCACAUAAAUGGCGGCAAUACACUUGGACCAGCAAACAUAAACAUCCCACCAUAGAGUAUCUCUUACCGAACCCCUAAUAAGCGUUAGAGAAGUGAAAUUUUGGUUUUACUCCUCCAAACAACACUUCACCGAUCAACUAAAACCGUUAGAGGAGGAUAAUUUUUAAUCUGGGCCUACCCCGACCCUUAAAUACACUCGGCCGCCCACUGUUGGAGUAAAAAUCUCACAUCUCUCCCCCAUCGCCCGACCUUAUCCGUUCCGCUGCCGCCCAAGCUCCCUGCAUCCCCGCCGGCGCACCGCUGUAUCCACUCCGCCGCCCUGCCCCCGCCGCCCAAAAUGGCCGGAUCCAACCACCGUUAUUCAUCGCCGACACGCAGCUGUAUCCACUCCGCCGCCGCCCCGCCGCCCAAAAUGGCCGGAUCCAACCGCCGUUAUUCCCCGAUGUCGAUCAGAAGCGCCGCUCCAUGCUCCCCAACCUAUGGCCCCGGCGGCACCUCCUCCUGUGGUGGCGCGUCCCGGUUCCCUGACCUGCCAUCGCCGUCGGCGCCACGGAGGGGGUACCUCGGCGUGCGGCAAUGUGCUUGGGGGACGUGCGUGGCGGAAAUCACCAACCGUGAAACCCACUGGAUCAGUUCCUAUCACUCAGCGGUGCAGGCAUCGCGGGCGUAUGGCAUCAUGUUCGCGUGCCUCCUCGGCGCAAACGCCCGACCCAUCUAAACUUCCCGGAUGGCUUGUCAGCUUUGGCCCCCGUCAUCUCCGUGUGGCGUCCGCACACGAGCCGCGGGAAAAUUUGGAGGCCCGUGAGUGCCUCGAGGCGGAGUGCACCGACGAGGAAUACAUGGCGGAGCUCCGCCGCGUGUACCUGGAGCGCAUCGAAAAAGAGUGCCGGCAAUACAAGCUCUAUAGGUCGGGGCGACGACGAUGGUCAUCAACCUUUUUUUAGGAAAGGCCAUCAUGGCUAGCUUUAUUAAAACUUAAAUAAUGUUUACAUCGUCUACGAGCUAUUGUCAAGGGGCUCGUCCAACCAACUAAAUGAAGUCUUAUUACAGUAACUAAAAUGAGCUAGCAUAUGAGCCACUUGAUUACAAGAUCUAUAACAAUGCUUAUAAACGACCUUCCCUAUUGAAGUACUAGUGUCCAAACAUUCUGCGAAUAUUGCCGCCGCCGAGUCCCACCAUAUGGUUUGUCCAUCACAAUAAUUGAGUACUUGCAAAGAAUUUGAUUCAGCUUCUACCUGGUUACACCCAAAGGAGUUAGCAAAAAUCAGUCCGUCUCGCAUGGCUAACGCUUCUGUUGUUAUUGCAUCCACCGCAACAGGUAUAAACUUGCAUUGGGCUCCCAAGAAAUUACCUUUGUCAUCACGCAGGAUAGCCGCCGUAGCACCUACCCCUUCGUCCGAGUAGUACGCCGCAUCAACAUUUAACUUAAUGAACCGAGGGUCCGGCUUACACCACUUUGCUUCAGGGGAAAUUCUCACCAGCGAUGUAGCCCUCUGAUGGUUGCUUGAGAUUGAUAACACAGAGAGUGCCCACCUCCAAGGGGGAGGAAUUGAUUCAUUGUGCGUCACUUUUUUACGGAUCCACCAAAGGUACCAGCCCCCAACGGCUAUUACUUGUUUGAAGUUAAUUAUUGGGUGCAUCUCAAGCUGCUGGUCCGGCAAUGAUAAGAUAAAUUCCAAGAUCGCAGACCCCGAUCUAUCAACCUGGAUCGCUUGGUCGAUGAUAUUUGUGAUGUCCAGCUUCGUCCACAAGUGUCGUGCAUUUGAGCAUAAAAACAUUAAGUGACGGAUAUCCUCGGCCCCUUGAUGACAGAUAGGACAAGCACCAUUGGAACCAAUGUGCCUGUUAGUAAGUAUAGCUUUUAGUGGGAUAACUCCUCGCAGUGCUCGCCAACAAAAAAUCUGUACUUUACGUGGAAUCUGAAGUUUCCAGAGAGUAUUCCACACUGCCCGAGUGGUAGAGCCACCAGGGUGUCCCAUCGUAUUUGCAUGCGCCCGAAAACUAUGCAUCCACUGCAUAUGAUAUGCACUCUUUACUGAGAAAAUACCUGUCCUGUUCGGGUGCCAUGCCACAAAGUCAUCAAAACCAUGCAAGUGUAGUGGAAUCUGAAUAAUUCUGCGGGCAUCCACUGGACUGAAUAAACUUAUUAUUAGCGCCUCAUCCCACGUACCAUUAGCCAUAUCUAUUAAUUCACAAACUUUGGUUAGGACCGUUUGACCCCUCGGUGAUAUCACCAUUCUAUCCGGACUAGAGGGAAUCCACGGAUCCGUCCAUAUGUUAACAUGUUCACCAGUCCCAAUCCUCCAAAUGUAUCCUUUCUUGAAAGUUUCCAACCCCUUCAAAAUACUCUGCCAUGUGAAGGACGAUCCAUUUUUUGGUGUAGCAUCAAUAAGGGAACCAUUUGGGUAAUAUUUUGCCUUGAGAACUCUCGCAACCAAAGAAUGCGGGUCAUUGAUCAACCUCCAACAUUGCUUGGACAACAUUGCCAAGUUAAAAGAGUAGAGGUCACGGAACUGUAACGCCCACGAUGCGGCUAUAUCUCCCACGUGUCGAGGCACGACUUAGAGGCAUAACCGCAUAGUGGUUUUGUCGCAAGAAGGGUCAUCUUCACACAAUCCCAUGUAAUGAACAAGAAUGGGAUAAAGAGUUGGCUUACAAUCGCCACUUCACACAAUACAUAAAUAUCAUUCAUACAUCAUCCAAAAUACAAUCAUAUAGACCGAGUACGGUCAAAAUCCAGAUGAAAAUAAGACAACCCCAAAUGCUAGAUCCCCGAUCGUCCCAACUGGGCUCCACUACUGAUCAUCAGGAAAAGACACAUAAUAACGACCACGUUCCUCGUCGAACUCCCACUUGAGAUCGACGCCAUCGUCUGCACUGGCAUCGUCGGCACCUGCAACUGGUGUUGGAAGUAUCUGUGAGUCACGGGGACUCAGCAAUCUCACACCCGCGAGAUCAAGACUAUUUAAGCUUGUAGGAAAAGGUGGUGCAAAGAGGUGGAGCUGCAGCGACAAAAGCAUAUAUGGUGGCUAACUUGCGCAAAUGAGAGCGAGAAGAGAAGCAAUGGAGCGGACGUCAUCUAGCAAUGACCAAGAAGAGGUCCUGAACACCUACUUACGUCAUACAUAACACAGACCGUGUUCACUUCCCGGGACUCCGCCGAGAAGAGACCAUCACGGCUACACACGCACUUGGUGUAUUUUAAAUUGGGUCAAGUGACAAGUUAUCUACAACCGGACAUUAACAGAUUCCCAUCUGCCACAUAACCGCGGGCACGGCUUUCGAAAGUUAAUACCCUGCAGGGGUGUCCCAACUUAGCCCAUCAUAAGCUCUCACGGUCAACGAAGGAUAAACCUUCUCCCGGAAAGACCCGAUCAGUCUCGGAAUCCCGGUUUACAAGACAUCUCGACAAUGGUAAAACAAGACCAGCAAAGCCUCCCGAAUGUGCCGACAAAUCCCGAUAGGAGCUGCACAUAUCUCGUUCUCAGGGCACACCGGAUUGUCCAAGCUUCCGAUAGGCCAGACCAGAGUUGCCCCUGGUGGCCACCGGCGACUGACAGUUUGGACCAAUACUCAGAGGAGCACUGGCCCGGGGGUUUAAAAUAAAGAUGACCCUCGGGCUCUAGAAAACCCGGGGGAAAAAGGUAUAGGUCGCAAAUGGUAAAACCAAGGUUGGGCCUUGCUGGAGGAGUUUUAUUCAAGGCGAACUGUCAAGGGGGUCCCAUAAAUCACCCGACCGUGUAAGGAACGCAAACUCAAGGAACAUAAUCCCGGUAUAACAGUAACUAGGGCGGCAAGAGUGGAACAAAACACCAGGCAUAAGGCCGAGCCUUCCACCCUUUACCAAAUAUAUAGAUGCAUUAAUUAAAUAAUAGAUAUUGUGAUAUCCCAACAUAUCCAUGUUCCGACAUAGAACAAACUUCAACUUCACCUGCAAUUAGCAACGCUAUAAGAGGGGCUGAGCAAAAGCGGUAACAUAGCCAAACAACGGUUUGCUAGGAAAAGAUGGUUAGGGGCUGACAUGGCUGAAAUAGGAGACAUGAUAUAGCAAGUGAUAGGUAGCGAGCAUGGCAAUAGAGCGAACAACUAGCAUAGCAAAGAUAGAAGUGAUUUCGAGGGGUGGUCAUCUUGCCUGCAAGAUUCUCAGAGUUGUCGAAAGCUUGAUCCUCGUAAGCGUACUCGACAGGUUCCUCGUUCACGAACUCGUCUCCCGGAUCUACCCAAGACAAGAACACAAACAAACGGAACCACAAUCAACAACGAGAAAUGCACAAGCAACAUGAUGCAAGACAUGUAUGAUAUGCAAGAUAUGGUAUGCGAUGCGUAUGCGUGCUCCGGAAGGAAAAUGAUGAACAUGGCAGUAACUUGGCAAACCAAGCAUGCCACUGGAAAGAUGAGAUGAUUUCGGUCGAAAUCGAUAUAAAGAUCACCGGAAUCGGAUGCACGGUUUGCAAAUGGCGAGCAAAACAAGAAUGACACUAAUCUGCGAUUAACAGCAAGAUAGCACUUAAAAUACAACAAGUAACAAUGCUACAGCACCCCAACAUAGCAACAAAGCACAUGGCAGUAAUCUACAGGAGAUGCUUGACAAAAGAUGAACACUGAGCUACUGCUAGUUCAUAACAUAUCAAGCUCAAACAAGCAUGGCAAAAGUGUAAAAGAUUACAGGUUCACAGACUUGGUGGAAAACUGGACAUGGCAGAAAACAGCAUCAGGUAGCAAUGUUCAGAGCACGAAAUCAACAUGCUACAGGAACUUAACAUAGCAAAACAAGGCAUGGUAGUGUUCUACUAAAUGCACAUUACAAAAGUCCCUUACUGACGAUAAGCCAAAAAGGGCCAGAAGAUAUGAUGGCAAGCAUGUAAACAUAGCAAGUUUCGUUAUCAGGUUUCAGACUUAGCAGAAAACAGAGCAUGGCAGAAAUAUUAAUAUGUAGGACUCUUUGUGAGCUUGAUGCACUCACUACAGAGCAAUGCAUGACAACCCAAGCAUACCUACAGCAAGAUGGUAUGUUUAUGAAGCUAUCCAUGGCAAGAACAAUUGCAUAGCAUGUAUGGAUCAACUACAAUAAGCUUGGCAAAAAUGCAUGUCAUGUUAAGAAUCUGUCAGAAAUAUUUUAUAGAAAAAGUAGAGCAAGAUUGAGUCAUGCUAUGGUACUCUAAAAUUGCAAACAAUUGCAGGAAUGGAUCAAUUACAACUAUAGCUACAAAACAUCCCUACUUAACAUCUCCAAAAUAUGCAUGGAUCUCUCUGUAGCAUCAAGUUUUCAUGGAAACAAAAUUACAGCAGACUAGGACUUAGAGAAAUCACUAAGUCCCUGAAAUCAGAAAUAUUACGGGACCUACUUUGCAUGCUUGUGCUAGUCACCACAUAGAUCACAAAAAUACAUGGACUAUACCACUGGAAAGAUGGCAUGGCAUACUUCAAAACACAUGUAGAGCUCAUGCUCAAAAGGUGCACAGAAUAAAUGAUACAAAAAUGACAAAUCUCCAAGUUCUGUUAAGAACCAGAGAUUAACAGCAACUAGCCCUCUUCCAACGAAGAUUUGGGCAUCAAGAUGACCUCGAAUGAAAAUUAUGCAAUUGAACAAAAUGAAGAGCAUCACGAGACGAACAAUUUGACAUAUUAUACGCGCGAAUCGGAGCUACAUGCACAAAGUUAUCGCAUCGGGAACACAAGCACUUGCUGAUGGAAUUCACAGACUUGGGAAAAAACGGAGCUCGGGGAAAGUCAACGGGAACAGUGCUAUACCAGAUCGGAUCGAGGAGGCUUGCUCGAUCCCGAGCUCGUCGCCGGCGGGAGGAGGAAGGAAGGCAGAGGGAGCGGCGGCGCCGGUGGGGGAGGACGAGGCCGGCGGGGCUGCUCCGGCGGGGAAGGUGGCCGGCGGCGGGCGGCGAGCGCGCGGGACCGGCGGGGAAGCUCGUGGCGGCGGCGACCGGUGGCGAUGGCGAUGGCCGGCGGCGGCGGAGGCGGCGCCCGGCGGCGGGGCAGGCGCGCGGCGGAGGCGGCGCCCGGCGGCGGGGCAGGCGCGCGGCGGCGGGCGUGGGCCGCGGGGGCNNNNNNNNNNNNNNNNNNNNNNNNNNNNNNNNNNNNNNNNNNNNNNNNNNNNNNNNNNNNNNNNNNNNNNNNNNNNNNNNNNNNGGCGGCGGCGGCGCCCGGCGGCGGGGCAGGCGCGCGGCGGAGGCGGCGCGCGGCGGCGGGGCAGGCGCGCGGCGGCGGGCGUGGGCCGCGGGGGCCGGAGUCGGGCCCCGCGGGCCGGCGGCGGGGCGAGGCCGGAGGCGGCCACGUGGCGCUCGCGGGUUGGCCGGGCGGCGCGGCGGACGUGUCCGGCGCGGGCGGACGCGUCCGGCGCGGCGCGGAGGGAGAGGGUUAGGGUUUCGUCUGAGAUUUCGUUUUUCGGGAUGCCCACUCAUUUAUAGGUAGAGGGAGCUAGGAGACUCCAAAUGAGGUGCGGUUUUCGCCCACACGAUCGUGAUCGAACGACCUAGAGCAUGGAAGAGAGUUUGGUGGGCUUUGGGCUGGUUUUGGAGGGGGUUUUUGCUGGACACUCAAAUGGACAUUGCGGAGGCCCGGUUAACCGUUGGAGUACCAAACGACCUCCGAAUGGAACGAAACUUGACCGGUAGUCUCCGGGUGGUAUAUUAAGACCACUUGACAAGCCUCGGUCCAUUCCGAGAAAGUUUGACACACGCACACGAAAGAAAACUAGAAGGGUGCACCGGGGAAGAUAGGAGCGCCGGAUUGGAAAACGGACAACGGGGAAAAUGCUCGGAUGCAUGAGACGAACACGUAUGCGAAUGCAAUGCACAUGAUGAUAUGAUAUGAAAAUGCAUGACAUGACAAAAUACAAAACGAAAGACAAAACCCAACAACGGAGGGAAAAAACCUAUCACAUAGCCGGAAAUGGCAAGAGUCGGAGUUACAAAUAUGGCAAGUUACAUGCGGGGUGUUACAGGAACCCCAUGCCUCCUUCACUCUCAGAGAUACACAACUUCCACCACGCCAUCCAAUGCAUUUUUUGGGUCUCCUUAUCAUCAUCCACCAGAAUUGUGCAAUAGCAUCCGUGAUCUCUUUACAAAUUCCCUUCGGCAAGCUGAAAACAGACAUAGCAAAAACAUGAAUAGCUUGGGCCACAGUUUUUAAUAGGAUCUCCUUCCCUCCUGUAGAUAAUAUUUUUUUCCAUCCAUCCCAAUAAUCUAAUUUUAAUUCUCUCUACAAAAUGUCUGAAGCAGUCACUUCUAUCAGCUCCCACUAGAGCUGGGAGGCCUAGGUAUUUGUCAGAUAAUGCUUCUGUAUCAAUGUGCAGAAUCUCACAAAUCUCCGCUUUUGACACUACACUUGUAUUUGGACUGAAGAAAAUACUUGACUUAGCCAAACUCAUCAUUUGUCCUGAACUCUGGCAAUAGGUAUCUAGCGUCUGCUGUAAGGAAGUUGCAUUUAACACAUCUGCUUUCAUGAGAAUUAGAGAAUCAUCAGCAAAUAAAAGGUGUGAAACUGAUGGUGCAUUUUUACACACUCUAAUCCCAUCCAUGCCACCAACUUCUUCUUCAUACUGCAACAUACUAGAAAGUCCUUCUACACAAAUAAGGGAUAUGGGGAGAGAGGGUCCCCUGUCUAAUACCCCUCGUCGGAGUGAAAAUUUCUGUUUCAUGAGAGUUAAAUCUAACCUUGUAUCUCACAGAGCUAACACAAGACAUAAUCAUCUCAAUCCAUUGUGCAUGAAAACCAAGCUUCUGCAUCAUGCUUCUCAAAAAGACCCAUUCCACACGGUCAUAAGCCUUAUGCAUAUCUAGCUUUACUGCACACAAGCCUGUCUGCCCAGCUCUUUUAUUCUUGAUUUUGUGAAUACACUCAUACGCAAUCAACACAUUAUCCAUUAUCAAUCUACCAGGAACAAAGGCACUCUGAGUUGGCGAAAUAAUUUCUGGCAGGAUACUCUUCAGUCUCAGAGCUAACAUUUUUUAGAUGAUCUUAUACAAAACGUUGCAUAGACUUAUUGGUCUAUACCGAGUAAUCAUUUCAGGUGAGUCUAUUUUUGGAAUCAGCACAAUAGACGUCGUUCCACUCAACCGGAAUCUGACGAUUAUUUAACGCAAAUAAUACCUCCUGUGUAAUGGCGUCACCCAGGAUAUGCCAAAACUUUUUGAAGAAUAAUGCAUGGAGGCCGUCUGGUCCAGGUGCUUUUAGAUCACCAAUACUAAACACAGCCUUGCGAACAUCAUCUGCAGUGUACGGUGCAAUUAAGAAAUCAUUCAUUUGCGCUGUCACUUUGGACUGGACCUUUUGUAGUAUCGCCGGAUCAACCUGUCUUCUGAGCUGAACAAGUUAUUAAAGUAGCUUCGUAUAUGUGGACUAAGAAGAGUCGUACCUUCCAAUAUAUUUCCCUGUCCGUCAUUUAAUUUUUUAAUAAAAAAUUUCUUCCGUCUUGCCGUAGCAUAUGCCUGAAAAAAACCCGUAUUGCGAUCACCGAACUGGAGCCAGUUGGAUCUCGAUCUUUGCAUAUAAUGUAUUUCCUCGAGUUCUAGCAAAAACUCAAUCAAUUCAGAAAGCUCUUUUCUCUUCUCCUCUGUCUCAUCAUUCAUAGGGCCGGUCAUUAAUUUUUCCAACUCCCUUUGUGUCUGCCGAAGUCUCUUCUUUGGCUUCUUGAGCACUCUCUGAUCCCAAUCAUGGAACAUCCCAUGCAUACGGUCCAGUUUGGCCUGUACCGAAGUGAGGUUCGGAUUGGUUUCAACCCUCUGCCAUGUUUCCUGGACUAGAUCAGCAAAGCUAUUUUCUCUCAACCAUCUAGCCUCAAAGCGCUUCACCUGGUUGUCACUUCCAGUGCUAGGUAAGUAAUAUUCCGUGUCCACAAGCAAGGGUCUAUGAUCAGAAUGGUUGUAACUUAGAUUCUGUAAAGCUGCAUGGGGGUAUAGGGCACCCCAAGAGUCAUUAAUCAGGCCACGGUCCAGCCGCUCUCUAAUGCGACCUCGCUGCCACGUGAACUGGUCCCCCAGGAAACCCAUGUCCCUUAGCUCACAGUCAUGAAUGGCAGAUUGAAAAGCUUGCAUAUACUGUUGCGGUCUAGGAUUUCCACCAACCUUUUCAGUCAAGAACUGGAUCUCAUUCAAAUCCCCAAUUAGAAGCCAUGGUGAAUUGUUGAUCUGAUGCAACCGACGCAUCCUUUCCCAAGUUUUAUACUUAUCUUCCCAUCUGAACUCGCCGUACAUACCCGUCAGUCUCCACUUAACAUUGCUCUCAUCUUCUACCAUUACAUCAACGAACAUGGGGUCAAGCUCCAUCCUUUGUAUUUUCACUUCUUUUUUCCAAACCAGUAUCAAACCACCUUUCCGACCAUCUCCCGCACACACCAAUUUAUGAUCCUUGUUUAAUCUCCUUCGUAAACAUUUAGCCGGGUAGCUUUCCAAGUGAGUCUCUGACAGAAACAUCACGUCUGGGUUGCAUGCUCGCUGGACAUCCAACAACGCACGAACUGCUGCGGCGUUUCCGAGCCCGUUACAAUUCCAGCUUAAAAUUUUCAUGAUGACCGGAUAGCCUCCGACGAGAAGGCCGUGAAUCCGGUGAUCAACAACGAAAAAACUCUCGGCCGGCGUAGCCGCCGGAGGACAGCAGAUCACAACUUUGCAGGAGUGAUUUAUAAAGAGAACUCACGAUCAGCGUAGCUGCCGGAGGACAUCAAAACCCUGACUUUGUUAGUCAGGGGAACGGGAACCUGAAGAGAGGGCAUCUCGUUAGUGCAUCAAGCCAGCCUCACGAGGAGGUCACAGGGCCAGCGGCCGGCGGCGGCGGCGGCGACGCAGAUCGCCAGGAAUAUCGCCUCCGAGGUAAGCGCUACCUUUGCUCCAGCGACAUCGACGACUUCGGGUCUGAUGGCGACGGAAACGGCGAAGCGGUGGAGGUGGAGCGGGCGAGGGCACUCACCCCAUGAUCGACGAGGAAUGGGAUAGGAUGAUUGCCAAGAUCACUGAUAGUGAUGAUGAGUAGUUUGUUUAAUUUUUAUGUAAUCUUUAGUUUAGAUUUGGUUAAUUGUUAUCUAAAAUAGUUUAUGCUAGUGGUUGAAUCGAGUUCAAAUCAAGUAUGAUGGACUAGUUUGAUCAAAUUUGCACCGAAUUUGUGUUCAAUUUUUUUAUUAGUUAAGUUUAGGGGUUUGUUAGAAACUACACUUUUUUAGAAGAACAAAUAUACUCUUCUUAAGGAUAGGAGGCCAUAUAUAUUCCUCCAAAUUAUAAGAGAUCGGUUAGAGAUGCUCUUAAAGAAGCUUGAUUGAUUUUGUUAUAGAGCAAGCUGCAAGGGUGGACGAUCUUCACGAUCUGUAAAUAAAUUUGAGGAAGAUCACGAGGGAAAACAGAAGGAAUCACAAGGAAAACAAACACAAAUUAACACACAUAUUGCAACACAAGAUACCCUUGUGUUUGGAGGUUCCGAGCUCUUCCUGGUACUUAGUCCGGACAUUCCAGAAGCGUUGUCACCGAUUCCAGACGAACACUGGAUCAUGUCUAGAGACUCCUGAGUUUGCAGACUUCGUGGAACUUGGACCUUUGGGGUUGCCGUUCCUGGCUCCAUGUCCCGCACCCUUGUCUUCACGGUUCCUUCUCCACUUUCAUGCUUCCUUCUUGGAGGGUGUAGUCGUUCGCUUGUGCUUGACCUUCUCUGUGCCAUGUGUGAUAUUUGACUCAAACCUAAAGGUGUGUCAAGUAGUAUACUAUCUUCAAGAGAACUAAGUAGACACGUGUACAUGAGAAGAUUCGCCUUUAUAUGUAUAAUGUGGACGAUGCGCCAUAGAGAAGAUGAUGCGUUUGUCUAACUAGCUCUCUAAAUUAUAUCUACUACACAGUAAUCUCUUGAUUUACACCCCUUUCUCUACUAUCAUCCACGACCCAUAGCAGAUCGUGAGAUCAAUGGUGUAUUAACCAAAGAACACAGAAGAAAUAGCUUAGCUCUGCCAGUACUAGCCAUUCAUCCUCAGGGAUGAAGCCACGCAACCUCUCUCCCACCUUUCUCCAUGGCAUCUACCAUCUUUGAUCUAGAUGGAAGGACUCCUCCAUUGGGAUUUCUCCCCGGGCAUUGCCCUCGAAGAUCAGGUGAGAAAAAGGUUUGGAUCCACGAUGCAUUUUUCUCCUUCUCGGGAUCACAAGGAGUUCUUCUUGGUGGUCUCCUUUUCCUCGGCCUCCUUCCCUCUCACUGUGGACUCAGUGGGUGUGGCACUGCAAUGCUGCCUUGGUGGUUCUAGUGCUGGAUUUCGAGUUAUGCAAAUUAAUUCUAGAUCAUUUCGUUUCUCUGUGGCAAAUAACAAGGUUGGUCAUUUCAUAUAUGGGCUUAAGGAUAGAAUUUGGCCAGAUUUCAUUUGUCACUUUCAUCUCUUCCAUGGCCGUUUUGCGAGAGCUCCAAUUUUUGAUCAUCGCUGGCAUGCUGACGAGACAUUAAGUGAUCUUUCUGCCCGUCGACGGUUGGCCGUCAAAUCAAAUUUGAGUUUUCUCAAGAAGGAUACUCAUUGGAGUCGAUCAUCGGGUCAUGAAUUAAGCAAGUUCAAUAUUACUCCUUUGGAUCAUAUGGUUUUCUCUGACAAGAAUCGUAUGGAGGCUUCUUCUUCGGGGGUGAUUCAUGCUCUUACUCAUGAUCAUCAUAAAACUCAUGAACACUCUUCGGCCGCUCAAUUCAAAUUUGGGUCUUUUGCGCCAUUAUCCGCUGGCACACCGGUAAUUCCGCCACAUUAUGGCCCCCCUACAUUAUUGGAACAUUUUUACUACAGGCAGAUUUGGAGCAAAAUCAAUCACCGAAUUAUCUCCGCUUGGGCAAUUUUAAUUGCAUCAUUAAUGCUCCUUAUCCUACGUUACCACAAUGCUUUCUGUCCUCGGCAUUCAAAUAUGCGCCUCCUCACAAAGACUGCCCCCCCCCACUCUUUCAGCCCAUCACAAGGCUAACCUGGCCCAGGCUGCGUACUCAGCAGAAACAAUCUCGGACCUGGCCGCUAACUGGGCCUCUUUGUGCUCUCGUUGCCUUCAAUGGGGACAUAAGAAAAUAUCUUGCCCAGCCCGGAUAAUUUGCAUUUAUUGCUCCGCGCCUGAUCACAAGGCUUUGACUUGCCCGUUUAGAUUAAACAGGAUUCCGAUUAAUUCCGCUGCUCGAUCUUUAAUUCCUGGGAAAGUUAAUAAUCCCUCCGGAUUUCCUCCUUCAGUUGUGCGGUCCCAAUAUCUGUCACGCAAGAUUUCCCGUAGAACAUUACGGUGUGAGAGCUGUGGUCGAUAUGGGCACGUGGCACAAGCCUGCACACGGCGCCAAUACAAGGAAUGCUGGGAGAGGGUACCAAAACAAAAUCAAUCUUCCCAAUCUACCCCUCACGUUCCAAUUUCUGCCUCGACUUCCCAAUCGCCGUCUCUGCCCAGCCCUGCCACACCACAGUUGCCACCAUUGCUGCUACCUCCCUCUCCGCCCAUGGCGAACUACCCCCUCAACCUCGUGCCGUUCCUUCCGCUGGGGUUUGCUGUUGAACCGGGGCCCGCCGACCGGGUGGUGCACAGCGGAAUGGUGGUCAGCCCAAUCCCUCCGCUCAACCACGAUUUUCUCGCAGUUGCAGAAGCCAGCGCGUACGUCCCGUUACAUCGUCGGGCUGCAAUCCGCACCGCAAUCGAAGGUUUGCUUCAUGAGGCUCAACUCUUUACUACAGAAUCCAGUGAUCAUCCAUUUAGCAUUGGGGUUUUUGGGUUCGUUGGUUCCUUCAUGAGAGAUACGGCUAUGGCCACCCCCUUAGAGCUGGAGGAUGAGGAUUUGCUGAUUACCUUUGUACCUCACCAUGAAACACUCAACAGACGCACCACCACCUUUGGGCCACAGAUCUGGCUUAUGUACUUUGGCUUCCCCUACGAUUAUCAAACAGAGUAUUACAUUAACAAGUCGCUAGGGGGUUUUGGAUCUCUGAUUUCUUGGUACAAUCCGCGCCAGGACAGACAUUUUAUGCUGGUUAAUGCUCGGGUGAUUCACUUGCGUCUUGUUCCUAAAAGUUUUGUUGUUUGGCAACUGGGUGGGGCUCGAGACUGUUGGACUGUGCAGAUUACGAUUCUUCGGAGCAAUGACUGGAAUGCACUGCUGCCUGAAGUGCCUCCCGCCGACGAGGAACCCCCCGCACCGGACGGCAACCCUCACCCAUACUUCGGUCCUGACCUGACGGCCGNNNNNNNNNNNNNNNNNNNNNNNNNNNNNNNNNNNNNNNNNNNNNNNNNNNNNNNNNNNNNNNNNNNNNNNNNNNNNNNNNNNNNNNNNNNNNNNNNNNNNNNNNNNNNNNNNNNNNNNNNNNNNNNNNNNNNNNNNNNNNNNNNNNNNNNNNNNNNNNNNNNNNNNNNNNNNNNNNNNNNNNNNNNNNNNNNNNNNNNNNNNNNNNNNNNNNNNNNNNNNNNNNNNNNNNNNNNNNNNNNNNNNNNNNNNNNNNNNNNNNNNNNNNNNNNNNNNNNNNNNNNNNNNNNNNNNNNNNNNNNNNNNNNNNNNNNNNNNNNGUGCAGAAUGCAGCUCCGAAUCAUCCUCCCCCCCCCCCCGCGGGUCAAGCCCCUGAUCAGGUACAUGAUAAUGCUGGCUGGGGGGCCUGGCCGGAGCCGCCUGCACCACCCAUGCCACCUUUCCUGAUGAAUUACCAAGCAUGGUUGGCAGCACAAGGCCUCAAUGUCCAGGACGGAGUGACACCUGAAAACAACAUUACUGACAGCGCCACACAAGCUUGGAACGAUUCAAUCGCUGUGUCAGAUGAUGGUAGCUCUGAAACUUCUGCUCUUGCAAUGGUCCCUCUGGAUAACCUGUUUGUACCACCUCCUGUCGACAACAACUCUGCUGAAGUUCUUACUGUUUCUGUGGAACUGCAUAGUCAGGGUCUGCAUUUUGGUCUCUCUUCUCAAGGUGAUAUGUUGAUGGCGCUUCUGCUUAAUGAUCCUAUACCUCGUCAACAGCUGAACACUGCUAUAUUUUCUGCUCUGCACCCUCUCAUGGCCACCUAUGGUCCCUGGAAUCAAGGUUAUGGUAUGAGACAGGACAAUCUCAUGGUGGAAGUUCAGGUUUCUAGUGGACCUGAUGGUAUUCAGUCCACACAGUUGGCUUCUCAGGUAAAUGGGACACCUCUCGGCUCUUCAGUGGUGAUCAUUGAAUUAUCAUCUGACAUUGGGCACUCUUCAAACUCAGCUACUGCCAGUCAGACGGUUCCUGCUUCUGUCUUUGAGCCCUCACAGUUUGAAGAGAAUAUUGAGGUCGUCCCUGAUGACACCACUGCUGCACAUAUACCUGCUGCAACUGCUGCUCUGAGCGUGUCCGACACUGCACCCCAACCGAGUACCAUAACUGAAGAAGUUAACCAGGGGAGCAAUUUACAGUUAACAGAGGUGAGUCUGCAUUCUGCAACCAGUUCUUCUAGGCAGCGUAAAGGGAAGAUGGCUGCUCCGAUUAAUGCUUCAACCCUCAGGCGCAGUACUAGAAACAAUAAGUAUGAUGGUUUCCGCAUUGUUCAGACCACAGAUACACGCUCCAACAAGUCCAAAGUGAAGCCCCGCAUUGUGCCUUCUGCUGCAGUUGGACUGAAUGUCAUUAUGGAAGGACAACAAUCUGAAGACCAAGAAGAAGCUGCUCCUCCUCCAACGACCAUCUCCACCAUGCAGGCAAUUGGCACUCAGCUAUGUGCCAUCCCAGCGGACGAGCUCACUAUGGCUAAACUCUCCAAGGAACCGGAGGAUCCUUCGGCCUCGGCUUAAUUACCUGCUUUUGCUUUUCAUCUAUGGUUCUUUUGCAAAACUGGAAUGUGUUAUGCUGGAAUGUCCGUGGUUUUAAUUCCCCUGAGAAACAUUUAGCCCUUUCUAAUGCAAUCAACACUAGUGGUUGCUCUGUUAUAUGUUUGCAAGAAUCUAAGAUGCAAAGGUUUGAUGCAUCUUCUCUUAAGGCCUUAUGCCCAAAGCGUUUUGAUAAAUUUGCUUACGUUCCAUCUAGAGGGGCAUCAGGAGGUCUAAUCACGAUAUGGAACAGUAGCAUGUUUUCGGGUACUGUAUUCUUAUCUGAAUCCUUGGCACUGGGUAUACACUUCACUUCUACUCAAUCAGCUCACAGUUGGAAAUUGAUUAAUAUCUAUGGCCCAUGUCAAGGGGAGCAGAGGGAAACCUUCACCAAAUGGUUAUUUGCUAUCAAUAUUCCCUCAACUGAAGAUUGGCUCCUACUUGGGGAUUUCAACUAUAUACGCUCACCUGAAAACCGUAAUAAACCAGGAGGGGAUCUGAACGAUAUGCUCACCUUUAACGAGUUUAUUCGCGAGCAACAUCUUACUGAACUACCGAUCAAGGGAAGGAAAUUUACAUGGUCUAAUAUGCAGCAAAAUCCACUCCUAGAACAAUUGGACUGGUUCUUCACAACAUUAAACUGGACUCUCUCCUUCCCCAACACGAUGGUCACACCUCUUGGUCGUCUUGUUUCUGAUCAUGUUCCUUGCUCGGUUGUAAUUCAGACAACAAUCCCCAAGAGUAAAUUAUUCAGAUUUGAAACAUACUGGAUUGCUCAUCCAGGGUUUAUGGAUGUUGUGGCUCAGGCUUGGGAGAAGCCCAUCAAAUUUGAUAAGCGAUCGAACUCCGCCUCCAUUCUUUGCCAAAAACUUAAGGCAGUUAGGCAUGCACUCAGUCACUGGAGCAAAAAGAUUUCAAGGUUAAAAGUGGCCAUUGAAAAUACUGAUAAAGCGAUUCUAGAAUUGGAUCAGAUUGAAGAUCGCAGGUCCUUAACAAUACCAGAAUCCAAUUUUAGGAAAAUUCUCAAAAAACACUUACUGCGCUUGCUCCAAUAUCAUAAAGAAUACUGGAAAAAAUUGCUGCACAAUAAGAUGGGUCCGCUUUGGUGAUGAAAAUUCAAGGUUUUUCCAAACAGUGGCAACUGAGCGAUAUAGGAAGAAUUGUAUAUCUAGCCUGAAAACCUCUGACGGCGCCACUGUUGAUGAUCACACUGCCAAGGAGGCCAUUCUUUUUGACACGUUCAGAGAUCGCAUGGGCAAAUCCAACCCCCCUCAUAUGAAGUUCAAUCUAUCACAAAUGAUGAGAGCACAAGUGGACUUUGAUAGUCUCACAACUCCAUUCACCCACGAAGAGAUAUAUGCUGUUGUCAAAGAAAUGCCGCCUGACAAAGCCCCGGGUCCUGACGGUUUCAACGAUGCAUUCUUAAAAGCUUGCUGGCCCAUCAUUAAACAAGAUUUCUAUCGUCUUUGUGAGGAUUUUCAUCGAGGCAACCUAAAUCUGGAGAGCUUGAACUAUGGUUAUAUCACACUCAUACCUAAAACCAACACACCUGAGAUAGUAAAUGAUUAUAGACCUAUUACACUCCUCAACUGCUGCCUCAAAUUGAUCACCAAGUUGCUUGCUAAUCGUCUCCAAAAAUUAUCCUCAACAUUGUACAUAAAAACCAGUAUGGAUUUCUGCGAGGGAGGUCAAUUCAUGACUGCUUGGCCUGGGCGUUUGAGUACAUUCACCAGUGUCAGACAUCCAAGGAACAGAUUGUGUUACUUAAACUAGACUUUGCCAAAGCUUUUGACACCAUACAACACGAGGCCAUGAUCAAGAUUAUGCAUAGUAUGGGCUUCAACCAAAAAUGGAUGGAUUGGAUUAAAUGUAUUUUCUCCUCGGGCAAAUCUUCGGUUCUUCUAAAUGGAGUUCCUGGCCGACAGUUUCAAUGCAAAUGCGGCGUCAGGCAAGGUGAUCCGUUGUCUCCGCUGAUAUUUGUACUUGCUGCAGAUCUACUUCAGGCUGCCAUCAAUGAGGCCCUUGAAGCAAACUUACUGAAACACCCUAUACAGCCCCGAUCUGAUGCUAAAUACCCUGUUAUCCAGUAUGCGGACGAUACUAUUAUCCUCAUGCCUGCAUGUCCUGACCAAGCUGCCCAGAUCAAGAAGAUUCUUGAAGAUUAUGCUGCUUCUAUUGGCCUCCGAAUCAACUUUCACAAGUCAACCUUGGUGCCAAUCAACACCCCCCUGGGAAGUGCAAUGAACUGGCUACACUCUUUGGAUGCACCACGGCGACCAUGCCUUUUACCUACCUAGGUCUCCCACUUGGCACCACCAAACCUUCAGUGCGAGAUUUGACACCGUUGCUAUAAGGCGGAGAGGAAAAUUACAGCCGCCAUGUCUCUCAUGUAUUAUGCUGGCAAGCUAGCCCUAAUUAACUCAAUCAUAACCUCUCUGAUCAUGUAUUCCAUGGGCACUCUCAGGCUACCUCCAAAAAUAGUAGCGCAACUUGAUAAGAUACCUCGACACUGCCUAUGGAAGAAGAAAACUGAAGAUGGACAAAAUGCAAUUCUCUUGCUGCUUGGGACAUGAUAUGUCGCCCCAAAAACAGUGGAGGGCUAGGUGUGCUCCAUUUGCGUACCCAGAAUGAUGCGCUCCUGCUCAAAUUCCUACACAAGUUUUACAACCGACUAGAUAUACCGUGGGUGACCUUGAUCUGGGACACAUACUACACCAAUUCCGUCCCUCAUGCCACCGAACCCUGUGGAUCCUUUUGGUGGCGCGACCUCAUCCAUCUCAUGCCCAUCUACAGGGGGUAUCAUUGGUGCAUGUUCGUAGUGGCCAAACGACACUGUUCUGGAAAGAUAACUGGAAUCAAUGCAUAUAUGUCGAGACUCACCCUCGGGCUUACUCCUAUUCCACUAUGAGGAUGCAUCAAUACAGGAGUUUCUGGCUACCACAAUGCUCGGUUCGGCCUUCCAGCUCCCCCUCUCACCACAGGCACACGAUGAACUGAAGCAAAUCCAAGAUGAUGUUGCAGGUGUCACUCUCACUGAUGCAAAAGAUAUUUGGACUUAUAUUUGGGGGUCUGCUGAUUUCAAGACCAAAGCAUAUUAUUCAUUCUACUUCAGAGAGAUCAUUGCACCUGUCGCCUUCAAGUGGCUAUGGAAGUCCAAAUGUAUACCCAGAAUCAAGGUGUUCGGCUGGUUUUUGCUGUCUGAUCGUCUUAACACCAGAAACAUGCUAAAGAGACGCCACUAUAACAUUGGGGACAACCUCGACUGCCUGCUGUGUGGCCAACAUGUGGAGGAGACAGUGGAACAUCUGUUCUUCCAUUGUGAUUUCAGCAAGGCAUGCUGGGAUACGCUUCAUAUCACUUGGCCCUCACAUGGCAACAGACUUGAGCUGCUCAAACAAAUGAGAAACCUUCACCCACGCAAAAUGAUCAUGGACAUUUUUCUAGUGGCUGCUUGGAGUCUCUGGAAGGAACGCAAUAACAAUUACUUCAGACAGGUAGCCCCCACCAUGUCAUCUUGGAAAAGGAGGUUCAGGGAAGAUUUUGCCAAUAUUCAACACAGAGUCCCUGCUCAUAAAGCACAAGUGGUGACUGCCAUUUUGGAGGGCAUACUGUAGGCUACUUUGAUCACUUUGUUGUAGGAUAGCUAUACCCCACUCACUCUUGUAUAUACCCACCAGUAGUGCCCCCCCCCCACAUUGUACAUGUAACUGUUUGAGUUUUCUUUAAUAUAUAUGCAGUAGGAGCCUUUCCUACUGUUCAAUUUUCAAAAAAAAAAUGGUGUAUUAACCGUCAAGGACUGAAGUUAAGGAUUGUAUUGGGCUGAGGCCCAUAAAAUCUAACACUUUAACUAUAAUUUUGUGAUGUCUACAAUGUUCACCUUGUUAGAGUUAUAUUUAUGAUGUCUUUUAGCUUUCUGUAUUUUGGCCUUUGGCCUCCCCCUGUACUUGUAUAUAUGAUGGCUUUGGCCUUGAGAUAAUACUAAGUUGCGAUUCCUAACAUGGUAUUAGAGCUCUAGGUUUAUUUGCAUGCGCAACUCGUGCUCUUCCGAUCCAAAAUUCUUGCGUCGGCGGUCGCUGCUCCUCUCUCUCUUCGGCCGAUCACUGGUCCUCUGUGCGCACGUCCACCACACCACCAGCAUCCAUCCAUAUCAGCAGCAGCACACCAACGCAUCCACGCUGCGGGUAGCCGGAUCGGCUUUCUUUCCAAGACCUUCGUUACUGGUCGCCGUCGCCUUCAGGACGCGCUACUCGCUGGAUUGGCUUCUUUCCAAGACCUCCGGUCGUUGGUGCUGCCAUCCGGCCGCCCUCCGGUCGUCCGUGUCGCCAUCCCGCCAUUCGUACCGCCCGACCGCUCCCGACGUCCAUCCGUUGCAUCGAGCGCAUGCGCGUGAGCUCGAUUUCGAGUCAGCUUGUCGCUGCUCCUCCGGCCGGCGGCGGCUCCGCUCCAUCUCACUGGUCGGACGGACCCGACCUCGUGUGGUGCUUCUCCAGUGUCGUCCGCAUCUCCAGUUGGGAAUUCCUGCAGGCCUUCCGCUGCUGCCAAACUCGAUCUGAGCUUCCGUGUGUCGUUUGAGCGUCCGUUGUUUUAUCCCCUGGGCUUCCUUCGUGAGCUUGAGCAGCUGUUCAGAUUGGUUUAGUUAUAUUAUCUGGAAAAAAAGAGUAAAAAGAGAGAGAAAAAAAGGGACAAUGCUUUCAUUGGGUUGCCUUUCCCUCGCUGCCCGGUGUUUUCUGACGGUGUACCGUACAUUGAUCCUGUCUCGCACAUGUGCCUUUCUUCGAUGCUGGGUCCUCGCCCGCUUGGCGGCGGCGGUUGUCGCUCUGCUUCGAUAGUUUUAGCGACUUCCACCGGUGCUACUGGUUGUUCUACAUCGACUCUCUUGGCGUCUUCUACCGGCUAUGUUGGUCGUUCUUCAACGACUCUUCCCACGACUUCUGCACCUGGUGAUUGUCGCCUUACAUCGACUCCCUCUAUGGGUUCUGCACACAGUGGUUCUACCUCGACCUCUACCACGGUGUCCCUGUCUGCGCAUGAGAUUGCGCAACUCCGAUGCCUUCUUGCUGCUUGGGAUUCCUCACCGACAGGUUCUGCAGCUUCUGCACCUAAGUUUUCUGGCACUGAGAGACCACCUUCUACUCAUUUAGGUACAUCCUUAUGGAUUCUUGAUAUUGGUGCAUCUUUUCAUAUGACUCAUGAUUCUUCCCCUUUGACCUUCAUUCGACCUGUUGAGUCACCUAUUCAUGUUUUUACAGCUGAUGGUACGCCCCUCCCUGUCACUAGUCGAGGCACUCUUAGCACUUCUUCCUUUCGUGUUCCCUCUGUUGCUCAUGUUCCUCAACUUAGCAUGCAGCUCUUUUCAGGUAGUCAGAUUGUUGACUCUAGUUGUAGGGUCAAUCUCGACUUUGAUUCAUGUUCUGUUCAGGAUCGUUGCACAGGCGCUCUGCUUGGUGCUGGCCCUAGACGCCACGAUGGUCUCUGGGAGCUUGAUUGGCUUCGUCUUCCCUCCGAUGCCACCGCCAGUCUCGCGACCCCUAUUGCCGCAUCUGCUAGCUCUUUUCAUCAGUGGCAUCAUCGUCUUGGCCAUUUAUGUGGUUCUCGUCUCUCGUCUUUAGUUCAUCGUGGUGUUCUGGGGCCUGUCUUUGGUAAUGCUUCGUUGGGUUGUCUAGGUUGUAGACUUGGUAAGCAGAUUCAGCUACCAUAUCCUCACAGUGAGUCAGUGUCCCAGCGUCCCUUUGAUCUUGUUCACUCAGAUGUUUGGGGUCCGGCUCCCUUCGCUUCGAAAGGGGGUCAUCGCUACUAUAUUCUCUUUAUAGAUGAUUUUACACGCUAUCUAUUUCAUGUCUUCUCGUAGUGAGGUCUUAUCUAUAUACAAAAAAUUUGCUGCCAUGGUUCAUACCCAGUUCUCCACUCCUAUCUGUGUUUUCCGUGCAGAUUCUGCUGGAGAGUACAUCUCUUGUGCACUGCGAGGAUUUCUUACUGAACAGGGUACUCUUCCCCAGUUCUCUUGUCCUGGUGCUCAUGCUCAAAAUGGUGUGGCUGAACGCAAACACCGUCACCUUUUUGAGAUGGCGCGUGCGAUGAUGAUCGCUGCCUCUCUUUCGCCUCACUUUUGGGCUGAAGCUAUUUCCACUUCCACCUAUCUCAUCAACAUCCAGCCAUCUGCUGCUCUGCAGAGUGGUAUUCCUUUCGAGCGUCUUUUUGAUCGUUCCCCUGAUUAUUCGGCGCUACGUUUGUUUGGUUGUGUUUGCUAUGUUCUUCUUCCUCCACGAGAACGCACCAAACUGACCGCUCAGUCUGUUGAGUGUGUAUUUCUAGGAUACAGCGAUGGGCAUAAGGGUUAUCGGUGUUGGGAUCCUAUCGGUCGACGGGUGCGUAUUUCCCAGGAUGUGACCUUUGAUGAGUCUUGUCCUUUCUACCCGCGUCCAUCCUCCUCGACCUUUUCUGUGGAGGACAUCACUUUUCUCACAUUUCCUGAUACUCCUCCCUCUGUGCCCCAUAUUCCUACCUCUCAUUCCCCCGUUGUUGCAGACAUGGCCCCGUCCUCUUCCACGGUUUCUUCUCCUCCCUUAUCGGAUGAGUCUCCACCUUCACCCCCGAUACAUUCCCCGUCUCCACCUUCAUCAUCGACGCCUUCCCCGUCUCCACCUCCCGUGAUUCCUACACGCCCCUCUUUUCCUUUCCAUUACACUCGUCGGCCACGUGUUGUGGAUGUGUCCACUGACACGCCAUCAACUUCUGGUGUGCCGUCUUCCUCUUCUCAACUGACUUAUGGUCUUCGAGCUCGGCCUUGUCCUCAACCUGAUCGAUAUUCUCCUUCCAAAUAUGGUCUUUCGACUGUCCUUGAGCCUACCUCUUAUCGUGAUGUUGUUGUUCAUCCUGAAUGGCAGUUUGCGAUGGCAGAGGAGAUUGCUGCACUUGAGCGCACUGGCACGUGGGAUCUGAUUUCUCUUCCUCCCCGUGUUCGUCUCAUCACUUGUAAGUGGGUCUAUAAGAUUAAGACUCGCUCUGAUGGUUCUCUUGAGCGAUAUAAAGAUCGUCUUGUGGCCUCGUGGUUUUCAGCAGGAGCAUGGCCAUGAUUACGAUGAGACAUUCGCUCCUGUGGCCCAUAUGACCACUAUCCGCACACUUCUCGUUGUAGCCUCUAUUCGUCAUUGGUCCGUGUCUCAGCUUGAUGUUAAGAAUGCCUUUCUUAACGGUGAGUUGCGUGAGGAGGUUUAUAUGCAACCACCACCUGGGUAUUCUGUUCCUGAUGGCAUGGUUUGUCGUCUUCGUCGCUCUCUCUACGGUCUCAAGCAAGCCCCUCGCGCUUGGUUUGAGCGUUUUGCCUCUGUGGUGACUGCAGCUGGUUUUUCUCCCAGUGCUCAUGAUCCAGCGUUGUUUGUCCACCUUUCCGCUCGUGGUCGCACUCUUCUUCUUCUAUAUGUUGAUGACAUGAUCAUCACUGGCGACGAUCUUGAGUACAUUGCCUUUGUCAAGGCCCGUCUCAGUGAGCAGUCUCUUAUGUCUGAUCUUGGUCCUCUUCGUUACUUUCUUGGGAUUGAGGUUUCCUCCACCUCCGAUGGCUUUUUUAUUUCCCAAGAAAAGUAUAUCCAGGAUCUUCUUACUCGGGCGGCUCUUAGUGAUGAGCGCACUGCUGAGACUCCUAUGGAGCUUAAUGUUCACCUUCGUGCUUCCGAUGGUGAACCCUUGUCCGAUCCAACUCGUUUCGUCAUCUUGUUGGCAGUCUUGUCUAUCUCGCCGUCACUCGUCCAGAUAUCUCCUAUCCCGUCCAUAUCCUGAGUCAGUUUGUUUCUUCUCCCACUUCGGUUCACUAUAGUCACCUUCUUCGUGUUCUACGACAUCUUCGUGGCACGAUCUCUCACCGUCUCUUCUUUCCUCAUUCCAGCUCGUUACAGCUCCAGGCCUAUUCAGAUGCUACCUGGGCUAGUGAUCCUUCGGAUCGUCGUUCACUUUCUGCUUACUGUGUCUUUUUUGGUGGUUCUCUCAUUGCCUGGAAGACAGAGAAACAGACUGCAGUUUCCCGUUCGAGUGCUGAGGCUGAGUUGCGAGCUAUGGCUCUUCUCACCGCAGAGGUGACUUGGUUACGCUGGUUACUCGAAGAUUUUGGUGUUUCCAUUACUACACCUACUACACUCCUGUCAGACAGUACAGGUGCUAUCAGUAUCGCGCGGGACCCCGUGAAGCAUGAGCUUACCAAGCAUAUUGGUGUUGAUGCUUUCUUUGUGCGCGCUGCUGUGCAGGAUCAUGUUGUUGCUCUUCCGUAUGUGCCUUCUGAAUUACAGCUAGCGGACUUCUUCACGAAGGCCCAGACUAGAGCACAACAUGGAUUUUACCUCUUCAAACUUAGUGUUGCAGAUCCACCAUGAGUUUGAGGGGGGGUGGUGUGUUAGAGUUAUAUUUAUGAUGUCUUUUGGCUUUCUGUAUUUUGGCCUUUGGCCUCCCCCUGUACUUGUAUAUAUGAUGGCUUUGGCCUUGAGAUAAUACUAAGUUGCGAUUCCUAACACACCUUGUAUAAAUAAAAGCUCGGCCGUAUUUGCAUUUUGUUUAAUGUUUUUCAAAAUUGAUGUCCAAUUUUCAUUAAGAAAUUAAAAACCAUACACUGAGUGCUUCUUUAGUUAAAACGAUUGUCAUUGAUAGUUUGGAUGCCUAGGAUAUGUUUAAUUUGAGUGACUCCAAUAUGAUUUUUCUUAAGGAAUCCUUUGCACCACAUUUGAAAGCAAAAUUUCAAUCCACCACAACGUCUUGAUUUAUUUUUUGUGGUGCAACGGGAGGAUAUAAGUGCUAAUGACAUGCAAACCUGUGUUUUUCAAAUCCUACAAAUCAAAGAGGGACUGAAUCAUAUAUUUUUGGGUCCACCAUACAAGUUCGAAACUGAGAAAAAAAAGUACCACAGACAUAGUCGUUAUAUAAAUUGUUCAAGUUACAUUCGACCUUCAUCAGGUUGCCACUAGGAGGCUUUGAUCGGCUCAUGUUUUUCUUACCCAACAGGGGAUACUUACAUUUUACCAAGACAAAGCCUACUAAUAUAAGAUCAACACCACUUAAUGCCAUUGGUCUUGCCCAGGCAUGCAAUAUAAGAAGCAUAUACCUAUAUAUCAUAAAUUUGCAAGCUGAAAACAGUAAGCAUGCUAGUUGGGCUUGAAGAACUUGAGCUUCAUCCCAGUGUUAAUGAUGCUCCAGACACCACCCACAGAGGAGGCCAAGCUGAAGGCGGUGCCGAGCAGCGCGAGGCCCCAGUUCACAUACCAACUGUAGCUGAACCUCUCAGGCUUCUUGAUGCAGAUCCACAUGAAGCACGGGUAGGCAAACGUCACCGGCAGCGUUAGGCCGCCCAGAAGGCCGGCGAGGCUGGAGAGGAACGGCAGAGCGAUGCCGAUGAAGAGCGAGAUGAACCCGUAGAAGAUCCUGAAUCCUGACCGGACCCAGACUGAGCAGGGCCGGUUGGUGCGACCUGUGUAGAAGGCCUCAAAGCUGUCGAACACCGGCAUGGAGUAUAUCUGGAAGCUGCUAAGGCAGUUGAACACGACGAGGAGGAACGUCGCCGCAAGGAGCCCACGAGAGAUGUCGUGGCCGUGGAAGAUGUAGAGUGCGGUCAGGAUUCCUCCUGCUGGCAUCUGACGGCAUGGGAAAGAACAACAGAAAAGUUCCAAGGAUUGUUAGCAAAUAAAGAAAAGCAUCACGACAGGAUGAUGAUGAUGAGUGAGGAGUAGAUGAUUGAAGUACUUGCCAUGUUUCCGUAGGCCCAGUAACCCCCAAUGGCAACAGGGAAGAUGCACAUCGCAAUCAGAAGAUAAGCCGCUUUGGCCCCGCGCCACAUAGGCACAUGUGCAGGGUGUUUGAAAGUCGACGGCAUCGUCGCCUGGUAGUUGUAAAAUUAAAUUCAAAUAAAACAAAUGAAGCCACCAAAUGGAACUACAUAGUACUGAAAGUCUAACAGGACUGGUUGUUUACUAGUGGUACUAACCUGUAUUUCUAAUGAAAGAUUGUGUCCCCUGAAUGCAAAGGCUAUUAUCCCAAGAGCAUUCAAGGUAGAGAACAACGAUGAGCCAAAAGAAGUGGAUCUCACUUGUUCAUAAGAGACUGCUGCCGGCCGUUGCUGGCUGACAGAGAGAACCCACGACAUGGUGCAGUACAUUAUCGCUGUGGCGCCACCGAUAAGCGAAAGCCCAGCAAUCGAGUUGAGAUUCGGGAGCUGGGAAAGAAUGACUGCUAAGGAUGUGAAUACCAAGUACCACUCCACCGUCGAAAUAGGGCUUGGUGUACAAAGGGGGCCGCACACUAUUUGGUAAAAGAGUUUCAUAGUCUCCCCUCCAACAAGGAUCAAUGCAGUUGCAGUGCCCGCCGAAAGAUAAAUAGUUGGGAAAAGAGCUAGCCACACCCCCAGUUUUUCUCCUGAAUGAAUAAACAGAUAGAAAUCAGUAACUCGGCUAAUUUUCCGUCCUACAAAACGAAUUUCCAGUCAUCAUCAAUAUAGCAGCAGAUCAGCAGACAAUCUAGGCAGCAUUGCAUGUACUAACCCAGCUUGGUAUAACAAUAGGCAAUAAUUGGUUAAUUACUCAAAGUGUGUGUUGCAAUGGUUUGAUUAGAAGGAUCAUGGAGUGAUUGUGGUAGCAGAAAGUUCCACAUUUUACACCACUGUAGCAUGAGAGCGAUAUGUUAUAACCGUUAAGCAGUCAUUUCUACUGUUCCAGAUGUGGAUCAAAUCAUGAGAGUGAUUGUACAUUAAGCUGGCACUACCCAUGCUUGAACACUACACCUAGCUAAUAAUAUUAAAAGAUUCUUCCGUUAAGCUACAUGAAACAGAUCGUCAACAUUGACAACGACUCCAAACAUGGCACAUCAUUGACAGCAAACAUUGGCACAUAUAUCCAGGUUGGAAUCAAGAGUUAAUUGUCAUGAAUUUGCAAAAUAGCGAAGGGCAUGUCUUUGUCUCACCAAAUGCAGCUUGUGCAAGCUCCACAUAUCUGUUGUACCUCCUGCCUGGGACUGCUUCAUGAAGCUUGACUAGAAUGGAGAGUGUGUAUAGUUGCCAGAAGUAAGCAACAGUCAAUGAUAUUAUUCCCCAGCUCCUACAGUACAAGAGAUCCAUAUGUUAGGAUUGGGAUAUGUCCUUAUCGUUCUAGUGUCAUGUUAGGAUGUUGUUUAACAUAUAUUUUGCGCACUGUAUCAAUAUUAUAUACUGUAAUUUGUAAUUUUCCUUUAUCAAUACACCUCAUGCCUUUAUUAGAGGCAGCUGCAUACUUGCAACCCUUAGGACUCAGUAAGAUGUAAAAUCAAGUAAAAAAAAAAAGAUGAAAACCACAUUUCUAAAUUACAUGUUCUUUUAAUACUAACACCUUUACACAGUUUCUGAUGUGUUUAAACUUGUAAACAUUUUCACUCUCAUAUAUACAAGCUGCAACAAUCUUGAAAGUAAACAUCUAUCUAAACUAGAAAAGAACUUGUUACCCUUGAGUUUUGUUUUGUAGAACUUUAGCACUGAACGUAAAGCGUCCACCAAUCUGACCAAUCUAAAUAAUGUUUGAUUCUGAGGUUAGAGCAGAACAUGCACAAAAAUGAAAUCCAGAACAAGAAAGUUGAAAAGGGGGAUCGACGAACAAUGCUCUGAGUCUGAGGGGAGGGCUUGCUGGGGUUUUGGAUGUGAGAAUGCCGAGUGGGGAGGGGGAGCAGGAGGAAUGUAUAGGAGGUUACUGACCAUCCGAGGGCGGGGAAGGCGAGUGGGAGGAGGAGCGCCUGGAAUCCAAGGCCGGCGUUGAGAGAGUGGAAUGCAGCGUAGCUGGCGUUGCCGCUGCGGCUCUCGGUGAUGGGGAGCCAGGCGUCCUGCGGGUUGAGGCGCGUGAGGUGGCCCACCUCCUCCAGGUAGCCGCGCAGGCCCUCCACCACCCGGCGCACCGGCGUCCCGGCGCCGCUCGUCGCCGCCCCUCCCCUCCUGACUGGCGGCGUGGACAUCCCCUCCGGCGUGGACAGCCCCCGUGGCGUCACGGGGAUCGACACCAGCUCCGGCUCCCCCGCCCCCUCCGCCAUUGCCGCCAUCCUUCCCUUGGACGACUUGGAGUGGGUUCUUCUUCUUGUUCUUGGAGCGCGGCGCGCUGUGUGUGUGAGUGUGAGCGAGGAGGAGUGAUUUUCUUGGAGGUGGUGGGGAAGGGUAGAAAAGAAAAGGUGGUGGUGGUGGAGUGGGGGACAGACGGGGAGGGGGCGUGUGUCGGAGAAGGCCCCGUCCUUUCUCUGUCGGGCGAGGAGAGAGAAGCUCAAGCAUGGGACGGACGGAUAACACUUCCGUAGAGAGAGGGAGAGUUGCAUGCAGACUUGCAGUACUACGACUACCAUGGCGUGGUGCAGUGCAAUGCCGUGUGUGGAGGAGAAAAAUCGACGAGCCGCACGAGCUUCCGUACCGCUACACUGUAGAUGGCGUGUGAAGCUCGACUGUUCAGACGUGGUGGAGGAGUCGUCGAGUGCAGAGCUUUGCUAGGAUCGUGCUCGUGCCUUGUGGGGGAAGGAGAUCCGAGCGUCAGAGUGUGAAAUGGAUGCGACGCACAUGGGUGCUUCACAAAAUGACGCGCAAGGAUGGGCGGCACUUGAAUACCAAGACAUUGUUUUUUCAAUGGUGAAUACAAGACCUAGAUGACCAUUUUAAGCCCAUAAAUGAAUAUAAAAUAUAAUUUCCCUCCAAGAUACUAGUUUCUUUUGACAGCAGGAAGAGGGGUUUCCCUUAAAACAAAACAAAACAAAAAAC